This 285-nucleotide long non-coding RNA is filed under the name Lathyrus oleraceus (garden pea). Its description in RNAcentral is "Pisum sativum (pea) long non-coding RNA (PSAT_LNC019659)". Lineage: Eukaryota; Viridiplantae; Streptophyta; Magnoliopsida; Fabales; Fabaceae. The record is from RNAcentral.
AUAAACUAGGUUGUCUAAGUACAAUAGUAGAAGAAGGUGCAUCAAAAUGCACUGAUCACACACCUCAAGCCAAUUCCAUAUCCUCAUCCCCUUUUGGCUAACUUCUCAUGCUUACAAUGAUCAUGGUAAGAACCCUAAUCUAUGGAUAUUUGAUACUGGUGCAACAGAUCAUAUUUCAUAUGACUUAGCCUCUUUUGAAUCAUAUAAAGACAUAAUCCCUGUCCAUGUUAGUUUACCAGAUGGUUCUUAAAUAAUUGCUUCUAUGUCUGGUAGCAUAGUUUUAUC